RNAcentral lists this ribosomal RNA (551 nucleotides) under uncultured bacterium. RNAcentral's name for it is "bacterial SSU rRNA". It matches the Rfam family "Bacterial small subunit ribosomal RNA", at positions 355 to 897 of the family's 1533-position model. The record is from RNAcentral.
UAGGGAAUCUUCCGCAAUGGGCGAAAGCCUGACGGAGCAACGCCGCGUGAGUGAAGAAGGUCUUCGGAUCGUAAAACUCUGUUAUUAGGGAAGAACAAAUGUGCAAGUAACUAUGCACGUCUUGACGGUACCUAAUCAGAAAGCCACGGCUAACUACGUGCCAGCAGCCGCGGUAAUACGUAGGUGGCAAGCGUUAUCCGGAAUUAUUGGGCGUAAAGCGCGCGUAGGCGGUUUUUUAAGUCUGAUGUGAAAGCCCACGGCUCAACCGUGGAGGGUCAUUGGAAACUGGAAAACUUGAGUGCAGAAGAGGAAAGUGGAAUUCCAUGUGUAGCGGUGAAAUGCGCAGAGAUAUGGAGGAACACCAGUGGCGAAGGCGACUUUCUGGUCUGUAACUGACGCUGAUGUGCGAAAGCGUGGGGAUCAAACAGGAUUAGAUACCCUGGUAGUCCACGCCGUAAACGAUGAGUGCUAAGUGUUAGGGGGUUUCCGCCCCUUAGUGCUGCAGCUAACGCAUUAAGCACUCCGCCUGGGGAGUACGACCGCAAGGGUUG